AAUGAACGCUGGCGGCGCGCCUAAUACAUGCAAGUCGAGCGAGAAGACGUAGCAAUACGUUUGUAAAGCGGCGAACGGGUGAGGAAUACAUGGGUAACCUACCCUAGAGUGGGGAAUAACUAGCCGAAAGGUUAGCUAAUACCGCGUACGCUCCUUGGACUUCGGUUCAGGGAGGAAAGCGAUGCCGAGGGUAUCGCGCUCUUGGAUGGGCUCAUGUCCUAUCAGCUUGNGGUGAGGUAACGGCUCACCAAGGCUUCGACGGGUAGCUGGUCUGAGAGGACGAUCAGCCACACUGGGCACUGCGACACGGGGCCAGACUCCUACGGGAGGCAGCAGUAAGGAAUAUUGCGCAAUGGGCGAAAGCCUGACGCAGCGACGCCGCGUGGGGGAUGAAGGUC
Molecule: ribosomal RNA, 398 nt
Filed under: uncultured bacterium
Lineage: Bacteria
Description: bacterial SSU rRNA
Rfam family: Bacterial small subunit ribosomal RNA
Source: RNAcentral